Molecule: long non-coding RNA, 999 nt
Organism: Maylandia zebra (zebra mbuna)
Lineage: Eukaryota; Metazoa; Chordata; Actinopteri; Cichliformes; Cichlidae
Source: RefSeq, a predicted model, not a curated record
UUGAGCAGAAACCAUAAGGAUACUCAAAGGACCUGUGACUCUCAGGAAAUGGUGAGAUUUCAGGUCAUAAUCUUUUUUUUUUCCCAUUAAAUUAAUUUUCCUUUUCCCCUUUACAAUAUUGCUGUUUUGUUUUUGUAAACGGCAUCAAAUGAGAGGGACCGAUGAAACAGUUUCAAGACAAUGGCAGGAAAAACAUGCUGAAGAUUGAAACAAACCUUGGCUGGAAAUAUUUGAAGGUAUCUAGCCAGUCCACAAUGAAAGCUUCGUUGCACCCCAUGAGUCUUCUGGCAGAAAUGAUGGCGGCUGUAUUCUUUAGUUUCCCUAAACAUCACACCCUGCCUGUUUAUACGAGGCUCUUCAAUUAAGUCUGCACCCAAAGAUUCAAUGAGAGAGGGGAUCCUGCCACUCCAAAGUGAACUCCUGAUGGACAUUGAAGUACUCCUGCAGAGCUUGUAUCUUCAACACCAUGCGCAUUAGAAACUCCACCGAGUCCUUUCCUUCACCAAGGCAGGACCCAGUGACUCAUUACUGUUGAUAGGUCAGGGGCAGGUAAUAUUUUGUUUCAUGUUUAUUCAUUCCUCCAUGGAUUACCAGCCAUAUAUAUGGACACAUGCUGUAUUCUCAAGAUCUAUGCUGUUUUGUAGGAAUAGAGAAAAUGAUAUGUUUAGUCUGUUUUCAAAUGGUAUGUCAAAUUUUCUCAUUGUUUAUCAGUAAUAUUCUCUACCUUGGUUGUAUAUGAGCAUCUUUAGAUUUUUCUAUAUUUAGCGGUUGCAAAUGUAAAAUGUACGGUAAACCAUUUAUGUUCCUCAUAUUGUACUGUAUUUUUAGCGGUAAAAUACCGGCAGCUGUGGUUGCCAGGAAUUUACCGUAAAAUGUAUCUGGUCAAAAUAAAAUGCUGUAAUUUGUUAUACAAUUUCACUGUGUUUUUUACUGUCAAAGGUUUUAAUAAGGUUUAACAUAUUUCUGUUAUUUUUACAGUUAUUUACAAUAAUAGGGUCU